CUUCGGAGCCAGAGACCGGCGCACGGGUGCGUAACGCGUAUGCAAUCUACCUUUUACAGAGGGAUAGCCCAGAGAAAUUUGGAUUAAUACCUCAUAGUAUAUCAUGACCGCAUCGUCAAGAUAUUAAAGUCACAACGGUAAAAGAUGAGCAUGCGUCCCAUUAGCUAGUUGGUAAGGUAACGGCUUACCAAGGCUACGAUGGGUAGGGGUCCUGAGAGGGAGAUCCCCCACACUGGUACUGAGACACGGACCAGACUCCUACGGGAGGCAGCAGUGAGGAAUAUUGGACAAUGGGCGCAAGCCUGAUCCAGCCAUGCCGCGUGCAGGAUGACGGUCCUAUGGAUUGUAAACUGCUUUUAUACGAGAAGAAACACUGAUUCGUGAAUCAGCUUGACGGUAUCGUAAGAAUAAGGAUCGGCUAACUCCGUGCCAGCAGCCGCGGUAAUACGGAGGAUCCAAGCGUUAUCCGGAAUCAUUGGGUUUAAAGGGUCCGUAGGCGGUUUGGUAAGUCAGUGGUGAAAGCCCAUCGCUCAACGGUGGAACGGCCAUUGAUACUGCCAGACUUGAAUUAUUAGGAAGUAACUAGAAUAUGUAGUGUAGCGGUGAAAUGCUUAGAGAUUACAUGGAAUACCAAUUGCGAA
Molecule: ribosomal RNA, 641 nt
Filed under: Flavobacterium sp.
Lineage: Bacteria; Pseudomonadati; Bacteroidota; Flavobacteriia; Flavobacteriales; Flavobacteriaceae
Description: bacterial SSU rRNA
Rfam family: Bacterial small subunit ribosomal RNA
Source: RNAcentral